Molecule: ribosomal RNA, 256 nt
Filed under: uncultured bacterium
Lineage: Bacteria
Description: partial 16S ribosomal RNA
Rfam family: Bacterial small subunit ribosomal RNA
Source: RNAcentral
UAAUACGUAGGGGGCGAGCGUUGUCCGGAAUUACUGGGCGUAAAGGGCGCGUAGGCGGCGGGUUAAGUCUGUUGUGAAAUACCUCGGCCCAACCGGGGAAGUGCAAUGGAAACUGGCCUGCUUGAGUACGGUAGAGGCAAGCGGAAUUCCCAGUGUAGCGGUGAAAUGCACAGAGAUUGGGAGGAACACCAGUGGCGAAGGCGGCUUGCUGGGCCGAAACUGACGCUGAGGCGCGAAAGCGUGGGGAGCAAACAGG